Non-coding RNA from Arachis ipaensis, 111 nucleotides. The record is from RefSeq and is a predicted model, not a curated record. NCBI's taxonomy places the organism in Eukaryota, Viridiplantae, Streptophyta, Magnoliopsida, Fabales, Fabaceae.
CGUGGGUGGAGCUUGUUAUCAAAGAAAGCAAGCUGCCGCCACCAACUCUUAAUUAAGCCAGUAUCCUCCUCCUUGUUUUGAUUCCAAUUUCCCCAUUUUUGAAACCGUAAC